This 772-nucleotide non-coding RNA is filed under the name Pan troglodytes (chimpanzee). Lineage: Eukaryota; Metazoa; Chordata; Mammalia; Primates; Hominidae. The record is from RNAcentral.
UUAUCAGGGUGAACAAAGCAGGGGAGUAACAGCAUCAGUAACUGUGAAACUCUAGGAGUUUGUCUUCAUUCUUUCAGUGAUAGACAGGGUCUCCCACUGUCACUUAGGCUGGAGCACAGUGUGACAACAGCUGACUGCAGCCUCAAACUCCUGGUCUUAAGUGAUUCUUCCCACCUCGGCCUCCUGAGUAGCUGGAAUUACAGGCAUGAGCCACGGCAUCCAGCCAUAAACUCUUUUGUCACCAUUUUUCUAGAGUCAAUAUCUAGCAUUUGUAUUUCGUACAUCAUACACUUGAGUUAAUAUCUGUGGAAAGGAUAAAUACAUAAGGAAAAGAGAUGCAGGAAGCUGCAGAGACACUGGCCAUUUAUCUGAGAAGUGCCCAAUGAGGCAUCACCAGAUAAGCACACGUUGGGUCGUUCUCCUGCUUCAGUAAGGUCUGUGGCGCUGACAUUAUCAAUGCUAUGGACGCCUCAAGGCUCUCAUAAAAAUACCUGGCUUCAGCAAUACGCAUGCAGUUAUCUCAGUUUAAAGGAAACGUGUUCUGCUCCCUGCUUAAUAAGAAAUCCUGCUUACUUCUCCAGCUUUUGAAGCACAGAUUAUUUUUCCUCUCUUCAUCAUAUAAAAAUGGAAAUUAUCAAAACAAAACAUCAUCAAAACAAAACAUCAUCAAAAACAGGUUGCUCUCUGAGUAAAGGUUUUAUCUUUGUUUGGGAUAGAAUCUCAUUCUGUCACCCAGGCCAGAGAGCACUGACAUUAUCAUGGCUCACUGCAA